Leptopilina heterotoma is the source of this 5570-nucleotide RNA transcript. It is a transcript of the gene named SCY1-like protein 2, with no coding region annotated. The record is from RefSeq and is a predicted model, not a curated record. The transcript has 18 exons. NCBI's taxonomy places the organism in Eukaryota, Metazoa, Arthropoda, Insecta, Hymenoptera, Figitidae.
AUAAUAAGAGAAGGAGAGAGAUCCUAUAGCUUUUGCACUACUUCAUCCCCUCUCCGUCUAUCCUUCAGUGGUUUCUACACUCAGAGAGAGGUAAUAAUAAUAAUAAUACACGUAGUGUGGCUAGAGUGUGACAAUAUAUUUCAAAUUAACUUGGAGUAAUUUGAUUAUAAGUAAUUUAAUUCGUACUCGUUUGAAAAAGACACACUUUUUUCCCUUAGUGCAAAUAUAAUAGGUUUUGCUAAGAGGCGUUAUGUUUUGAAAACUAGAAACAUUAUUUUUUGAUUGAUUUUAAUUUUAAAUCCAUUGCGAUAAAUAGGAAUUGAAAUUUGUUUUGAAUAUUCAUGAAAAAUUUAAAUUUGGAAAAAUCCGUAUGGUUGUGAGGAUAAAAAGAGGGUUGAAAGAGUGUCUAACUUUCGCGAGGGGGUAUUUACUAUAGGCUUAAAAUAUAAUUGCAAAAUUUAUGUUCCUAUGUAUUAUUAAGUAUUUCAAGGAAUUAAAACAUUUUUGCAGGAAAUUAUAGAUAUUCGAUGCUGAAAGAUUAUAUAAUGUGUGUUUUGUUGUGAUAGCCAAUUAUUUUCUAUCGCAGCUAAUAAAAUUUAGUUCUCAGAGCAUUAUUUUUUUGUUAGACAAAAUUUUGCUCAAUUAAUAAUUAUAUUGAAUUACCAAUAAAAUAUAUUAGACAAGCAGUUAUAGACUCCAAACUAAAUUGAUGAUCUACAUAGGCCAAGAUAUAAUUUUUCAACUCAUCUCAAUUAUUAUUUUUGAAAAUGAUUUUGAACAUAUUAAUUAUUAAUUAUGUUUUACUAUUUUGAAGUGACUAUUUUUCCUUGUAGUUAUUGUGAGAAUAUAUACAUAAUUUGGAUUAAUUAAGAAGAAUUGAAUUGCUAGAAGUAUUCAUAUGUAUAUUGAGAGCUAUGGUGAAAGCAUUGAUGAUAACAAGAAGAGUAUUAUGACAGGAAUCUCGACCUUGACCUAAACAGGGAAUUAGGGAAAUCGGGGAGCUACGCUAGUUGACGGUCUCUUCCCAGGCAACCAGGCUGCAGGCUAGGCGUAUUACCCUGGCCAAAAUUGACGCAUGCGUCACAGGGAUGGAAGCAUAGUCCUGUUUACAGGAUAAAGGACCCUGCCAGUCGCGUUUCAUUUUUGCACCGCGUUCCUUUUUUUCGUGUAAUAUGCGUUUCUAGUUGUGUGUGUAUGUGUGUGAGUGUGCGUGUGUGUGACCGGCGAACUAGGCACGUUUCAAAAGAUCAGAAAUUGCUGUAAUUAAAAACGUAUGGUAUUUAUAAAAACAAAACAAUUGUCGUAAUCAAGAAAUAACGUGAAUGGGCGCUCGAACGAUGUUUUCCAAAUUUAAAAGUAGUGGCGCUGCACCAAAUAUUUUGGAAUCAAAUCCAAUAUUGAACCAUUUUGAAAUAGGAAAACAAUCUGCAACUGCUGGACCAGAAAAUGUUUGGAAAAUCCUUGAAGGAUAUCGAAAAAGUGAUGGCAAGGAAGUUUCAAUAUUUCUAUUUGAAAAGCGUUCAGUUGAAAAAAUAACAAAACCAAAACGAAAAGAGACUAUUACGGAAACUUUACGAGCGGGAGUUCAAAACUUGGAACGAUUUAGACAUCCAAAAAUUUUGCAAGUUAUACACUCAGCGGAACAGUGCCAAGAAACAUUAGCAUUUGCUUCUGAACCUGUUCUCGCAAGUUUAGCCAAUGUUUUAGCUUACGAGGAACAAAAAGCAUUAUCUAUAGCACAAUCGUCCACGACUGUAGGGCAGCAAACUCAGCAACAACAACAACACAAUCGUCAAAUGUACAUGAAGGAAUAUGAAUUGUUGGACAUGGAAAUAAAAUACGGCCUCCUACAGAUAACAGAAGCAUUAUCGUUUCUUCAUUAUAGUCGCCAAAUACUUCAUAGAAACGUUUGUCCAAGUAGUAUAAUGAUUACAAAAAAAGGAACUUGGAAAUUGUUUGGAUUUGAAUUUAUAGAGAGUGGAUUAAACGAUAAAGAUGCUGCAGAGCCUAUCCCACUUCCACAAUGGACCAACAGAAUUUCAAAAAUGGCUCAACCAAACUUGGAUUACUUGGCGCCAGAAGUGCAGCUGUCUAAAAGAGGAAGUAUUCUCAGUGAUAUGUAUAGUUUUGGAAUGGUCAUUUGCGCGAUAUUUAAUUACGGUCGUCCUUUAAUACAAGCGAAUCAUAAUUGUUCGGAAUAUAGUAGACAACUGGAUACAUUAGAAGAGCAAGUGCAUAAUAUUUUGCCUCGAGUACCUGUGCCGUUACAAGAAGCUGUUUCCAGGCUUUUGCAAAAAGAAUCUAGGCAACGACCUACGGCUCAACUUCUCACCCUUAUUAAAUAUUUUAGUGACCCAUCUGUAUAUGCCUUGCAAUUUUUGGAUGUAAUUAAUAUGAAAGACCCAACACAAAAAGCUCAUUUCUACAGAACAACUCUUAAAGAAGCGCUUCCUUAUAUACCUCGAAAACUUUGGUACCAACAUAUUUGGCCUUAUUUGCAAGAAGAGUCUAGAUCACAGGAAGUCUUUGCGGCUGUUUUGCAACCUAUGCUUUAUAUUAUUCAAAAUAGUACUUCAGAAGAGUAUGAGAAAAUUAUCUUGCCCACUUUCAGAUCACUGUUCUCCAUACCAAAAUCAACUCAAGGUUCUGUUGUACUUUUGGAGAAUUUACAUAUUAUUUUAGAAAAAACACCAUUAGAUGUAAUAAGAGACGAAGUAUUGCCCAUGCUUUUCGCUUCCUUUGACAGUCCAACAAUCCAAGUUGAGAGCGCAGCUUUCGUCGCAAUCGCAAAUGUGACACAUUUUCUGGAUGAUAUGGUGAUAAGGAGAACUGUUUUACCCAAAAUAAAAAUGGCUUUUGAAAAAAAUUCAACUGAUAUGAGAAUAUUAAUGAAAGCUCUGGCAAGUAUUCUCGACCGCCUAGAAAAACAACAAAUUAUUGAUGAUGUGAUGCCACUUUUGUGGAAUGUGAAGCUUCAAGAACCGGAAAUAGUUGUACGAGUAGUAAGCAUCUACAGAUUAAUGUUAAGUGACAAAAAAUACGGCCUAUCAGUUAACCUCAUGGCAACACGGGUAAUGCCAUCAUUGCUGCCUCAAACAGUAAACCCGGCACUCAAAUUAGAAAAUUUCAAUCUACUGUUGGAUGUUUUACAAGAAAUGCUCAAUCAAAUAGAAAGGAACCAAAGGAAUAAAUUACAAUUGGAUGCAGAUAUGCGCCGACCACUUAGGCAUCAAUGCAGUACAGAUAACAUGCAUGUUCCACCUUUCAACAUUCCUAACCUUCGUAUAGAGCAAAGAAAAACAUCUUCAGCCGAAGACAUGGCGAGAAAAAAUUCCAUUGGUUCAAUGUCAAUGACUGCAUCAGCUGAAAAUAUGACGAGAAAAAAUUCAAUGGCUGGAAUGUUUGGAAGUUGGUGGUUCGGUUCAUCAUCGUCUACAAAUGACAACAAUUUUCUCAGAGUAGCCAAUACUUUUACAUGCCGACGUCUUUCUGACAACACAUUAAUGACUCCAAAGAUUCGUAUAGCUCCAUCUUGCGCGAGUUCUCCAGGUGGUACACCAGGAGGUGGUUUACCAAUACGACGACAUUCUAGCACCGGUCCCCAAGAACGAAGAGGUUCAAACAUAAAUCUCUCUCCGCCUACGGGGGGAAUGCCUAUUACAAGUAGCAGUGUUCCAUACCUUCUAAGCUCAAGUAUGAACAGUAUUCGAGGUUCAAGGCGACCCUCCGUCUCAUCAAAUACAUCGCAACAGGGAAUACUUCAGCAAUCUAUUAGCGGCAUGGUAAGACAACUACCCCCCAUCUGCCUCAAUGGACCACCAACACUCUCUCCAUCACCGGGACAGCCUUCCCACUGACCCUUGGUUACAGUGUAAGGAUCUCUCUGUUCCUUUGCCAACCAAUUCUCUCGAGACUUUAUAUGAUACCAAUUGUUCUCUGGACGGUCUUAAGCCUUCGGACUUAGAAAGAAGUCGAGUCAGUCCUUCGUUAAUGACAUGAGGAUUUGCUAAGAACUGUAAGUGAAACUAUCCUUACACUUUUGUCAACUACUCAAGAAGUGUUUUUGAGGAAUGUUUGACACGUGUUUUUGCUUUUGCAAUUGCAAAAUACGCAAGUUACGUAAUAAUAUAAACUGAAGACUAGGCUCCUUGAACUAAUGAUAAAAUGUUCAAGAAAGAAGAAUCAACUAUAAACAAGCAGAAAUUCAUUUAAUGCAGAAAGAGUUAUUAUAAGUGAAAGUAUUUUAAAAUAAGUUUCUCGUAAAACAAAGGAAUUAUUUUAAUUAAACAUUUAAAAUCACGUCUAUUCUCUAAUAUAAAAACUUGCAUUUUUCUUAAAUUUUUUGUAAACAUAAACAGAUUCUUAGAAUAGUAAGAGGAUUAUUAAAUUAAAAGUUUAAAAUUAAAGAAAAAUUUCUGGCCAAACUAAAUCAAGAAGUUUAAGUGAUAAAUGUCUAAUUAGCAAUGUUUGUUAAUAAUAUUAAGAUUAUGUGAAUGUAUGGUAACUUAAUUUUACUUUUGGAUCAAUACAAACUGAAUGGAAACUUUUGUGGAAGCAAAUAGAGAACACAUUACACUCACGAAAACGAUUAACUUUUUUUAGAUUUCUGUUAAUAAUAAGCAGGUCUAAUGUCACUUAUUUUGUUCGAUCAUAUAGCUCAGUGAGCUCGAAGACAUGGGUUGGUUUAAAGACCUUUUUUAUAUUCCAUGUUUAUUCCAAGAAUGUCUUUAAGGUGGCUCAUUGUCUUCAUUUAUUUCUUCCGUGUGGAAAUUUGUCAUAGAAAACUAAACAUGGUCAAAAGCUAACAAAGCUACAUGUGUACGUCCGCAUGAAAAGGGACCACACUUUGGCACUAUUGGAAUUAAAUACCUGAGCACAUUCUUGACUCAAUUUCGAACCAUUAUUAUAGUUUCCAUGUUAAUUGGAAAUUAAAAAUAAGAUUAUUAGUUGUUUUAAUUGAGAUAAAGUCAGCGAAAAUGCAUAAUUUAACGUGGGACACUUUGAAGUUUGGGUUUCAACAAUAAAGAAAAAUAAAAAUUCUGAACCACUUUUAGAAAAUUGCGAUUGUCUCCUAAAAUAAAAUGGACAAAGUGGUCGAUGCGGACGUAUACAUACACACAUAUUGGUACCAAGAAACUUUAAUCAUUCUAUUAUUAUUAAUUCUAGAUAACAUUUUCUUGGUAUGAAAAGAAAUGUCAAUUGACAUGGAUGUAUAAAAAGUCCAUACGGGAACCCUAUAUUUCUAAAUAAUAAUUUUUCUUUCAUCCCGGGUCUAAAUUUGGGUAAUAUUUUGGUUCUACUCAGGGCCGGAUUUGCUGUAGGGCAAAAAGGGCAAGUGCCCUGGGGCCCCCGGUCGUCAGGGGCCCCCAAUUUUUAAGAGGUCUUCUUGUCACAAGAAGUGUAUAUGUGUAAAUGCUCUAUCAGGGUGUCUAACGGUCAGAGAAAAGUCAUGGAAAAGUCAGGGAAUGUCAGAGAAUUUCAUUGAAAGUCAGGGAAAUUUCUAAAAAAAUUUUGUGAAUAAAAAAUUUUUUUAACCUAACAAAACUUAGAAGAUUUUUAUCACCGUUUUU